AAAGUCGUAACAAGGUUUCCGUAGGUGAACCUGCGGAAGGAUCAUUACAAAUCUUCUUGGAUUCCCGUCUCUAUAUGGGUGCUCUCACAAAGAGUGCACAUAAAAGACUGUGGUUAUCCACAUUUACGCUUGUUGUGUUUGACAGAGUAAUUUUUGGUUGGAAAAAAAAGACAACUUUUAACAAUGGAUCUCUUGGCUCUU
RNAcentral lists this unclassified non-coding RNA (201 nucleotides) under Rozellomycota sp. RNAcentral describes it as "Cryptomycota sp. partial contains small subunit ribosomal RNA, internal transcribed spacer 1, and 5.8S ribosomal RNA". The stretch from base 1 to 47 matches the Rfam family "Eukaryotic small subunit ribosomal RNA", at positions 1785 to 1831 of the family's 1831-position model. The record is from RNAcentral. Lineage: Eukaryota; Fungi; Rozellomycota.